RNAcentral lists this ribosomal RNA (251 nucleotides) under uncultured bacterium. Its description in RNAcentral is "partial 16S ribosomal RNA". It matches the Rfam family "Bacterial small subunit ribosomal RNA", at positions 525 to 775 of the family's 1533-position model. The record is from RNAcentral.
ACGUAGGGAGCGAGCGUUGUCCGGAAUUACUGGGUGUAAAGGGAGCGUAGGCGGGAUUGCAAGUUGAAUGUGAAAUCUAUGGGCUUAACCCAUAAACUGCGUUCAAAACUGCAGUUCUUGAGUGAAGUAGAGGCAGGCGGAAUUCCUAGUGUAGCGGUGAAAUGCGUAAAUAUUAGGAGGAACACCAGUGGCGAAGGCGGCCUGCUGGGCUUUAACUGACGCUGAGGCUCGAAAGCGUGGGUAGCAAACAG